Non-coding RNA from Pelobates cultripes (western spadefoot toad), 248 nucleotides. Lineage: Eukaryota; Metazoa; Chordata; Amphibia; Anura; Pelobatidae. The record is from the annotation of a GenBank genome assembly.
CCCCACACUGCAUGUGCAUGUUUUGGUCAAUAAAAGGAAAUUAGAUCCCUUUAAUAAAAGGUAACAUAACACCCAACACACACAAACAUAACUAACCAGAGCUUAUUUUUUCAACAAACUGUAAAAGUUAGGCAAAAUGGGGAAUUUCUAAAACUCAGCUAGAAUUGGUUCACUAAGCACAGAUUUGCGGUGAAUUCAAAAGUCGAACAGCAAAAACUUAACAGUUGGAAAAGGUGCCAAAAUGUUAG